AGCGAACGCUAGCGGCAGGCCUAACACAUGCAAGUCGAACGAACCUUUCGGGGUUAGUGGCGGACGGGUGAGUAACACGUGGGAACGUGCCUUUAGGUUCGGAAUAACUCAGGGAAACUUGUGCUAAUACCGAAUGUGCCCUUCGGGGGAAAGAUUAAUCGCCUUUAGAGCGGCCCGCGUCUGAUUAGCUAGUUGGUUGAGGUAAUGGCUCACCAAGGCGACGAUCAGUAGCUGGUCUGAGAGGAUGAUCAGCCACAUUGGGACUGAGACACGGCCCAAACUCCUACGGGAGGCAGCAGUGGGGAAUCUUGCGCAAUGGGCGAAAGCCUGACGCAGCCAUGCCGCGUGAAUGAUGAAGGUCUUAGGAUUGUAAAAUUCUUUCACCGGGGACGAUAAUGACGGUACCCGGAGAAGAAGCCCCGGCUAACUUCGUG
RNAcentral lists this ribosomal RNA (434 nucleotides) under uncultured bacterium. RNAcentral describes it as "partial 16S ribosomal RNA". It matches the Rfam family "Bacterial small subunit ribosomal RNA", at positions 29 to 507 of the family's 1533-position model. The record is from RNAcentral.